This 838-nucleotide ribosomal RNA is filed under the name uncultured bacterium. Its description in RNAcentral is "bacterial SSU rRNA". It matches the Rfam family "Bacterial small subunit ribosomal RNA", at positions 8 to 839 of the family's 1533-position model. The record is from RNAcentral.
AGAGUUUGAUCAUGGCUCAGAUUGAACGCUGGCGGCAGGCUUAACACAUGCAAGUCGAGCGGGGGAAGGUAGCUUGCUACUGGACCUAGCGGCGGACGGGUGAGUAAUGCUUAGGAAUCUGCCUAUUAGUGGGGGACAACAUUCCGAAAGGAAUGCUAAUACCGCAUACGUCCUACGGGAGAAAGCAGGGGACCUUCGGGCCUUGCGCUAAUAGAUGAGCCUAAGUCGGAUUAGCUAGUUGGUGGGGUAAAGGCCUACCAAGGCGACGAUCUGUAGCGGGUCUGAGAGGAUGAUCCGCCACACUGGGACUGAGACACGGCCCAGACUCCUUCGGGAGGCAGCAGUGGGGAAUAUUGGACAAUGGGGGGAACCCUGAUCCAGCCAUGGCCGCGUGUGUGAAGAAGGCCUUAUGGUUGUAAAGCACUUUAAGCGAGGAGGAGGCUACUAGUAUUAAUACUACUGGAUAGUGGACGUUACUCGCAGAAUAAGCACCGGCUAACUCUGUGCCAGCAGCCGCGGUAAUACAGAGGGUGCGAGCGUUAAUCGGAUUUACUGGGCGUAAAGCGUGCGUAGGCGGCCAUUUAAGUCAAAUGUGAAAUCCCCAAGCUUAACUUGGGAAUUGCAUUCGAUACUGGAUGGCUAGAGUAUGGGAGAGGAUGGUAGAAUUCCAGGUGUAGCGGUGAAAUGCGUAGAGAUCUGGAGGAAUACCGAUGGCGAAGGCAGCCAUCUGGCCUAAUACUGACGCUGAGGUACGAAAGCAUGGGGAGCAAACAGGAUUAGAUACCCUGGUAGUCCAUGCCGUAAACGAUGUCUACUAGCCGUUGGGGCCUUUGAGGCU